UACGGGGGGGGGCAAGCGUUGUUCGGAAUUACUGGGCGUAAAGGGCUCGUAGGUGGCCAACUAAGUCAGACGUGAAAUCCCUCGGCUUAACCGGGGAACUGCAUCUGAUACUGGAUGGCUUGAGUUUGGGAGAGGGACGCGGAAUUCCAGGUGUAGCGGUGAAAUGCGUAGAUAUCUGGAGGAAUACCGGUGGCGAAGGCGGCAUCCUGGACCGGCAUUGACGCUGAGGAGCGAAAGCCAGGGGAGCAAACGGG
RNAcentral lists this ribosomal RNA (254 nucleotides) under uncultured bacterium. RNAcentral's name for it is "partial 16S ribosomal RNA". It matches the Rfam family "Bacterial small subunit ribosomal RNA", at positions 524 to 776 of the family's 1533-position model. The record is from RNAcentral.